CCUACGGGAGGCAGCAGUGGGGAAUAUUGCUCAAUGGGGGAAACCCUGAUGCAGCGACGCCGCGUGAGUGCAGAAGUACUUCGUUACGUAAAGCUCUAUUUGCAGGGAAGAAAAUGACGGUACCAGAGUAAGCAGCCACGGCUCACUACGUGCCAGCAGCCGCUGUAAUACGUCGGGGGCCAGCGUUAUCCGGGUAUACUGGGUGUUAAGGGGGCGUAGACGGUGCGCCAAGUCAGGAGUGAACUGCCGCAGCGUAACUGCGGAACUGCUGUGGAUACUGGCGAACUAGAGUGCGGGAGGGGUAGGCGGAAUGUCUAGUGUAGCGGUGAAAUGCGUAGAUAUUAGGAGGAACACCGGUGGCGAAGGCGGCUUACUGGACCGUAACUGACGUUGAGGCACGAAAGCGUGGGGAGCAAACAGGAUUAGAUACCCGAGUAGUC
Molecule: ribosomal RNA, 440 nt
Filed under: uncultured bacterium
Lineage: Bacteria
Description: partial 16S ribosomal RNA
Rfam family: Bacterial small subunit ribosomal RNA
Source: RNAcentral